RNAcentral lists this ribosomal RNA (373 nucleotides) under uncultured organism. RNAcentral describes it as "partial 16S ribosomal RNA". It matches the Rfam family "Bacterial small subunit ribosomal RNA", at positions 527 to 896 of the family's 1533-position model. The record is from RNAcentral.
GUAGGUGGCAAGCGUUGUCCGGAAUUAUUGGGCGUAAAGCGCGCGCAGGCGGUCCUUUAAGUCUGAUGUGAAAGCCCACGGCUCAACCGUGGAGGGUCAUUGGAAACUGGGGGACUUGAGUACAGAAGAGGAAAGCGGAAUUCCAAGUGUAGCGGUGAAAUGCGUAGAGAUUUGGAGGAACACCAGUGGCGAAGGCGGCUUUCUGGUCUGUAACUGACGCUGAGGCGCGAGAGCGUGGGGAGCAAACAGGGAUUAGAUACCCUGGUAGUCCACGCCGUAAACGAUGAGUGCUAAGUGUUAGGGGGUUUCCGCCCCCUUAGUGCUGCAGCUAACGCAUUAAGCACUCCGCCUGGGGAGUACGGCCGCAAGGCUG